RNAcentral lists this ribosomal RNA (388 nucleotides) under Nesticodes rufipes. RNAcentral's name for it is "partial 16S ribosomal RNA". Lineage: Eukaryota; Metazoa; Arthropoda; Arachnida; Araneae; Theridiidae. The record is from RNAcentral.
AAUAGCCGCAGAAAUUCUGUGCUAAGGUAGCAUAAUCAUUUGUUUUUUAAUUAAAAACUAGAAUGAAAGAUUUAACGUUUUUAAUUCAUUUAUUAUUAAUAUUUUUUAAAUUUAUUCUAAAUAUAAAAAAAUAUUUAUUAAAAAAAUAGACGACAAGACCCUAUUGAAUUUUAUUUAUAUUUAGCUGGGGCAGCUAUAAAAUAUAAUUAUAAUAUUAAAAUCAAUAAAUUUAAUAAAAAUCCAAUAAAAUUGAUUAUUUUAUCAAAUUACCAUAGGGAUAACAGCGUAAUAUUAAUUUAAAGUUCAUAUUAAAAUUAAAUUUUGCGACCUCGAUGUUGAAUUAUAAUUCUUUAUUAAUGCAAUAAUUAUAUAAGUAGUCUGUUCGACC